This 179-nucleotide ribosomal RNA is filed under the name uncultured bacterium. RNAcentral describes it as "partial 16S ribosomal RNA". It matches the Rfam family "Bacterial small subunit ribosomal RNA", at positions 1321 to 1500 of the family's 1533-position model. The record is from RNAcentral.
UGAAGCUGGAAUCGCUAGUAAUCGCGGAUCAGCAUGCCGCGGUGAAUACGUUCCCGGGCCUUGUACACACCGCCCGUCACACCAUGAGAGUCGGGAACACCCGAAGUCCGUGCCUGACCGCAAGGGGGGCGCGGCCGAAGGUGGGUUCGAUAAUUGGGGUGAAGUCGUAACAAGGUACC